AACGAACGCUGGCGGCAUGCCUAACACAUGCAAGUCGAACGAUGCCUUCGGGCAUAGUGGCGCACGGGUGCGUAACGCGUGGGAAUCUGCCUUUCGGUUCGGAAUACUUCAGGGAAACUUGAGCUAAUACCGGAUAACGUCGCAAGACCAAAGAUUUAUCACCGAAAGAUGAGCCCGCGUAGGAUUAGCUUGUUGGUGAGGUAAAGGCUCACCAAGGCGACGAUCCUUAGCUGGUUUGAGAGGAUGAUCAGCCACACUGGGACUGAGACACAGCCCAGACUCCUACGGGAGGCAGCAGUGGGGGAUAUUGGAAUAUGGGCGAGGGCCUGAUCCAGCACUGCCGGGUGAGUGAUGAAGGCCUUAGGGUUGUAAAGCUCGUUUACCCGGGAAGAUAAUGACGGUACCGGGAGAAUAAGCCCCGGCUAACUCCGUG
RNAcentral lists this ribosomal RNA (433 nucleotides) under uncultured bacterium. Its description in RNAcentral is "partial 16S ribosomal RNA". It matches the Rfam family "Bacterial small subunit ribosomal RNA", at positions 29 to 507 of the family's 1533-position model. The record is from RNAcentral.